Molecule: transfer RNA, 74 nt
Filed under: Thermogymnomonas acidicola
Lineage: Archaea; Methanobacteriati; Thermoplasmatota; Thermoplasmata; Thermoplasmatales
Also listed under: 1 other name
Rfam family: tRNA
About the family: Transfer RNA (tRNA) molecules are approximately 80 nucleotides in length. Their secondary structure includes four short double-helical elements and three loops (D, anti-codon, and T loops).
Source: Rfam by way of RNAcentral
GGGUCCGUGGGGUAGCCUGGCCAUCCUUCCAGCUUCGGGAGUUGGAAACUCCGGUUCAAAUCCGGACGGGCCCA